This 324-nucleotide long non-coding RNA is filed under the name Ursus maritimus (polar bear). RNAcentral describes it as "lncRNA (ENSUMAG00000021284.1)". Lineage: Eukaryota; Metazoa; Chordata; Mammalia; Carnivora; Ursidae. The record is from RNAcentral.
AAGUCUGUAAAGUUUGAGAAGCAGAUUACAAAAGGACUCCAGCAGUCAAGCACACAGGGAAGGUCCUCCCACAAACGAUGAAGGGCCUAUAAGGUGGUGUCCACAAGAGUGGGUGGAGAGAUAUGGAAGAUAAAGACCGCCCAAGGGAACAUCCUGCCCAUCCAGCCAUGGAAUCUUUUAAGGAAACUAGGUCAGCAGAAGAGAUUCAGAAGAUGUCAUCCUGGGUGCUUUCGAACUCAACAAUGCAUUUGCAGAUUUGGUCUCUCCAGGGGAGCUGAACACGCAGGAAGCACUGACAAAUAAAUAUUGCUGCUUUCUGAAGCA